RNAcentral lists this ribosomal RNA (450 nucleotides) under uncultured bacterium. RNAcentral's name for it is "bacterial SSU rRNA". It matches the Rfam family "Bacterial small subunit ribosomal RNA", at positions 354 to 796 of the family's 1533-position model. The record is from RNAcentral.
GUGGGGAAUAUUGGACAAUGGGCGAAAGCCUGAUCCAGCCAUGCCGCGUGUGUGAAGAAGGUCUUCGGAUUGUAAAGCACUUUAAGUUGGGAGGAAGGGCAGUAAGUUAAUACCUUGUUGUUUUGACGUUACCGACAGAAUAAGCACCGGCUAACUUCGUGCCAGCAGCCGCGGUAAUACGAAGGGUGCAAGCGUUAAUCGGAAUUACUGGGCGUAAAGCGCGCGUAGGUGGUUUUGUAAGUUGGAGGUGAAAUCCCCGGGCUCAACCUGGGAACUGCCUCCAAAACUGCAUGACUAGAGUACGGUAGAGGGUAGUGGAAUUUCCUGUGUAGCGGUGAAAUGCGUAGAUAUAGGAAGGAACACCAGUGGCGAAGGCGACUACCUGGACUGAUACUGACACUGAGGUGCGAAAGCGUGGGGAGCAAACAGGAUUAGAUACCCGGGUAGUCC